AAAAAAUAAGCACGCAAUUACUACACAUCUGGUUCGUUAAUAGAAUUCUUACUAUACUUCUGUUUGUGUCAUCAUAAUAUCGGUAGACUAGUUAAUACAAUACAACACAAACUCAUACAUUUCCAUUAUUUAUACAUGAUAAUGAUGCAUAGGCAGGGGGGACUACAAAAAUGAUAGAAUAUAAAUAGACAUUCACUAAUAAACACCUUGAGAUACAUAUUAAUAAAAAAUGGAAAGCCAUCACUUGAUAAAUUUUCCAUCUAAGCUGGGUUCCAGUAAGGUCUUCUUGUAACAGUCCUAAACUUCAGCAUUUUGCAUGAAGUGGCUGCUUUCAAGACUUCACCCACACUUAGGUUUGGCACCCCAAUGUUUCACCACUGACCAGAAAAUUGCUCCAAUACUCACACAAAUAAAUAAAAGAAAAAUAGCUUAAAUUUUUAAGGACGUGACUGAUAUGUUUAUGGUAACUUUGCUAGAUGAAAAUGUCACCAACUUCUAAGAUUGUUGCAACUCAUUCUGUUUCUACAUAGCUCAAGAACACCAAUGCAACUCCCAAGCACCAUCUCACAUGUGCCUAGUCCAGGCAUAAGUUCACAAAAUAAAAUCAUAACUAAAAUUCAUUUAAAAAUUUAUGCAUUUGAAAUUACGGGAAACUGUUCUUUCCCCCAUAGCAAACAUCAUUAUGCACCAAUGUACUUCACAGAAUUAUAAGAUGAUCCUAUGAAUUAUUAAUAAUAUAUUUCUUCACCUCUUUCUUUCAUGCAAAAUUAUAAAAUAAAAACCAAUCACAUACACAAUUGCUUCAACUCAGAACCAUAUAGCAAACAAGAGAAGGAAUGAUAUAGACCUCACCAAUAGCAUAUUAAGCAUAAAAAUGUAAACCAUUCAGAGCAUUCAUAUUGCUACAACAUGUCAUCAAAAUACUGAAUGUAAAUAAGCAAUUAAGAUUGCAUCUGAAAAACCAAAAUCAAUGAGUUCAAAAGCAAAAAUACUGUUCAGUAAACUUAAUAUAAUAGAAAUGAGUAACAACAUGAUAAAAAUUGGAUUUUCAUAUAAAAACAGCCAGUAACGUGAACUACCUUCCAAAAAAAAUCAACUUUAGCUACAAUAUCCAACAGGAUACUUCAAUUUCAUACAAUAAAAAAGCAGUUACAUGAUUUCAAUUAGCCUUUCCCAGACUCAAAACAAGAAGACAAAAGUAUCCCAUUAAUAAUAAAUAACCAACUAAUAAUUAUCAGUCGUAAAAAUCAUAAAAUUCAAGAACCCAACUACGCAGGCAGCUCAAUUUACUCACACGUACGCGAAAACAUGAAAUCAAGUCUCACCAAUCGAAUCAACGUCACUAAUAAAAACACAAACUGAAUGUUUCAGAAUCAUCACAACAGUAUCAACAAACCAACUAGUAGCACUCCCUAAUUAAGGAGCACUGAUUAGAAUCUGAGAAGCACAAAACCCAGACAAGCAAUCAUGGAGACACCAAAUUAAAAAACAUGGCUCUAGAAAAAAAUCGAUUCAACGACAAACCUAUUAUUUGGCCUAGGGUGAGGCGGUGGAGACCGGCAAAUGACCGGAGAUACGCCGGAGAUAAGAGUUGAAUAGCAAGUGUGAAUAGAAACAGAGUCGGGAACGGAAAUUCGUAUGCUAUUUUGGUUUGUUU
This 1657-nucleotide unclassified non-coding RNA is filed under the name Hevea brasiliensis (rubber tree). Lineage: Eukaryota; Viridiplantae; Streptophyta; Magnoliopsida; Malpighiales; Euphorbiaceae. The record is from RNAcentral.